GCCCCGGUGGCCGAUUCGAUCAGGCGGCUGUUUCGAUCAGGCGGCGAGUUCGAGUCGAGCGGGGUGGCCGGCGCGGGUCCGGUCCAGCGCG
This 91-nucleotide transfer RNA is filed under the name Streptosporangium pseudovulgare. RNAcentral describes it as "tRNA-Arg". The record is from RNAcentral. Lineage: Bacteria; Bacillati; Actinomycetota; Actinomycetes; Streptosporangiales; Streptosporangiaceae.